This 783-nucleotide ribosomal RNA is filed under the name Triticum aestivum (bread wheat). Its description in RNAcentral is "partial small subunit ribosomal RNA". The record is from RNAcentral. Lineage: Eukaryota; Viridiplantae; Streptophyta; Magnoliopsida; Poales; Poaceae.
AUGGAGAAGACGGUCGUUCUGUACCCCGGCCUCGCCGUGAGCCACUUCGUCCCCAUGAUGCAGCUCGCCGCCCAGCUCCUGGAGCACGGCUACGCCGUCUCCGUCGCGCUCAUCGAUCCCGGCAUCAUGGAAGACAUCGUCUUCAGCGCCGUCGUCGCCCGCGUCGCCGCCUCCAUGCCGUCCGUCAGCUUCCACACGCUCCCAGGUGUGGAGGACCCGCCCAAACUAACCCUGGACAUACACUUCAUCCCCAGGUACCUCGACCUCCUGCGCCGCUACAACCAGCGCCUCCACGACUUCAUCUCUUCCAUGCGCCCUCACGCCGUGGUCGUCGACUCGUUGUCCAGCGAGGCGGUCGUCGUCGCAAAGAGGCUCGGGAUCCCCUGCUACAACUUGUUCACCAGCAGCGCCUCCAUCCUCGCCGCCUUCUCCCAGCUUGCUACGCUCCUUCCAGAGGGCGGGGCGAGCUUCGGGGAGCUAGGAGACAACCCUAUCGAGCUCUUCGGCCUUCCAUCUAUGCCGGCUUCGCACUUACUGGCCGAAAUGCUCGAGGACCCGGAGAGUGAAACAUACAAGGCGACGAUGGGCUCCCUGUGCUGGAUCAUGGAGGCCAAUGGCACGCUGGUGAACACGUUCGAGUCGUUGGAGGCUCCGGGGGUGGCGGCUCUCAAGGACCCACGGUGUGUCCCCGGUCGGGUUUUGCCUCCGGUGUACUGCAUCGGUCCGUUUGUCGGUGCCAUCGCCGAGGCAAAAGAGCGACACGAGUGCCUUGUCUGGCUAGAC